GGGUUGUGAGGUUAAGCGACUAAGCGUACACGGUGGAUGCCCUGGCAGUCAGAGGCGAUGAAGGACGUGCUAAUCUGCGAUAAGCGUCGGUAAGGUGAUAUGAACCGUUAUAACCGGCGAUUUCCGAAUGGGGAAACCCAGUGUGAUUCGUCACACUAUCAUUAACUGAAUCCAUAGGUUAAUGAGGCGAACCGGGGGAACUGAAACAUCUAAGUACCCCGAGGAAAAGAAAUCAACCGAGAUUCCCCCAGUAGCGGCGAGCGGACGGGGAGCAGCCCAGAGCCUGAAUCAGUGUGUGUGUUAGUGGAAGCGUCUGGAAAGGCGUGCGAUACAGGGUGACAGCCCCGUACACAAAAAUGCACAUAUUGUGAGCUUGAUGAGUAGGGCGGGACACGUGGUAUCCUGUCUGAAUAUGGGGGGACCAUCCUCCAAGGCUAAAUACUCCUGACUGACCGAUAGUGAACCAGUACCGUGAGGGAAAGGCGAAAAGAACCCCGGCGAGGGGAGUGAAAAAGAACCUGAAACCGUGUACGUACAAGCAGUGGGAG
Molecule: ribosomal RNA, 548 nt
Filed under: Shigella sonnei
Lineage: Bacteria; Pseudomonadati; Pseudomonadota; Gammaproteobacteria; Enterobacterales; Enterobacteriaceae
Description: partial 23S ribosomal RNA
Rfam family: Bacterial large subunit ribosomal RNA
Source: RNAcentral